RNAcentral lists this ribosomal RNA (481 nucleotides) under uncultured bacterium. RNAcentral's name for it is "partial 16S ribosomal RNA". It matches the Rfam family "Bacterial small subunit ribosomal RNA", at positions 28 to 507 of the family's 1533-position model. The record is from RNAcentral.
GACGAACGCUGGCGGCGUGCUUAACACAUGCAAGUCGAACGCUGAAGCUCAGCUUGCUGGGUGGAUGAGUGGCGAACGGGUGAGUAACACGUGAGUAACCUGCCCCCUUCUUUGGGAUAACGCCCGGAAACGGGUGCUAAUACUGGAUAUUCACUGAUCUUCGCAUGGGGGUUGGUGGAAAGGUUUUUUCUGGUGGGGGAUGGGCUCGCGGCCUAUCAGCUUGUUGGUGGGGUGAUGGCCUACCAAGGCUUUGACGGGUAGCCGGCCUGAGAGGGUGACCGGGAACCGUGGGACUGAGAUAAGGCCCAGGCUACUAAGGGAGGGAGAAGUGGGGGAUAUUGGAGAAAGGGCGAAAGCCUGAUGCAGCGACGCCGAGUGAGGGAUGGAGGCCUUAGAGUUGUAAACCUAUUUCGCUCAUGGUCAAGCCGCAACAUUGGUUGUGGUGAGGGUAGUGGGUAAAGAAGCGCCGGCUAACUACGUG